AAAUUGAAGAGUUUGAUCAUGGCUCAGAUUGAACGCUGGCGGCAGGCCUAACACAUGCAAGUCGAACGGUAACAGGAAGCAGCUUGCUGCUUUGCUGACGAGUGGCGGACGGGUGAGUAAUGUCUGGGAAACUGCCUGAUGGAGGGGGAUAACUACUGGAAACGGUGGCUAAUACCGCAUAACGUCGCAAGACCAAAGAGGGGGACCUUCGGGCCUCUUGCCAUCAGAUGUGCCCAGAUGGGAUUAGCUUGUUGGUGAGGUAACGGCUCACCAAGGCGACGAUCCCUAGCUGGUCUGAGAGGAUGACCAGCCACACUGGAACUGAGACACGGUCCAGACUCCUACGGGAGGCAGCAGUGGGGAAUAUUGCACAAUGGGCGCAAGCCUGAUGCAGCCAUGCCGCGUGUAUGAAGAAGGCCUUCGGGUUGUAAAGUACUUUCAGCGGGGAGGAAGGUGUUGUGGUUAAUAACCACAGCAAUUGACGUUACCCGCAGAAGAAGCACCGGCUAACUCCGUGCCAGCAGCCGCGGUAAUACGGAGGGUGCAAGCGUUAAUCGGAAUUACUGGGCGUAAAGCGCACGCAGGCGGUCUGUCAAGUCGGAUGUGAAAUCCCCGGGCUCAACCUGGGAACUGCAUUCGAAACUGGCAGGCUUGAGUCUUGUAGAGGGGGGUAGAAUUCCAGGUGUAGCGGUGAAAUGCGUAGAGAUCUGGAGGAAUACCGGUGGCGAAGGCGGCCCCCUGGACAAAGACUGACGCUCAGGUGCGAAAGCGUGGGGAGCAAACAGGAUUAGAUACCCUGGUAGUCCACGCCGUAAACGAUGUCUACUUGGAGGUUGUGCCCUUGAGGCGUGGCUUCCGGAGCUAACGCGUUAAGUAGACCGCCUGGGGAGUACGGCCGCAAGGUUAAAACUCAAAUGAAUUGACGGGGGCCCGCACAAGCGGUGGAGCAUGUGGUUUAAUUCGAUGCAACGCGAAGAACCUUACCUGGUCUUGACAUCCACGGAAGUUUUCAGAGAUGAGAAU
RNAcentral lists this ribosomal RNA (1023 nucleotides) under Salmonella enterica subsp. enterica serovar Heidelberg str. RI-11-013374. Its description in RNAcentral is "bacterial SSU rRNA". It matches the Rfam family "Bacterial small subunit ribosomal RNA", at positions 1 to 1013 of the family's 1533-position model. The record is from RNAcentral. Lineage: Bacteria; Pseudomonadati; Pseudomonadota; Gammaproteobacteria; Enterobacterales; Enterobacteriaceae.